Molecule: long non-coding RNA, 1344 nt
Filed under: Canis lupus familiaris (dog)
Lineage: Eukaryota; Metazoa; Chordata; Mammalia; Carnivora; Canidae
Description: lncRNA (ENSCAFG00845007480.1)
Source: RNAcentral
UUUUAUGGUCUGAUGCUGUUGUGACUUAAUGCCACUUUGUUUAGUACCCAUAAUCAUCUUGUUUAUGGCCAUGGCCUACUUUGGGAACAUUUCUUAUAACAUGGUCCCCAAAAAGAACACACAGCAGACCUAAAUUCCUAAUUGUUUGAUUUUUCACAAGUUACUUCAUUCCUUUAAGCUUUGAUUCCUCAUUGUGAAAAAGGGAUAAUAUAUUUACAUUUCAGAUCACUUUGAGAAUUAAAUGAAAUGUCCACAAUGUGUCUAGUCCUGUGCCUGGAGUUUAUUAAAAUACAUGAAUACCUUGGGGGCACCCAGGUGGGCUAAGUGUCAAUUGGUUAAGUAUCCUACUCUUGAUUUUGGCUCAGGUCAUGAUCUCAGGGUCAUGAGAUGGAGCCCCAUAUUGGCUCCAUGCUGAGCAUGGAUUUUUCUCUCUCCUCUCUCUGCCCCUCCCUCCUCCCCCAACCAUGCAUAAACUUUCUCUCUCUCUCUCUAAAACAACAAAAACAAAACAAAACUAUGUGCCAAGCACACCUCUUUGGGGCUUAGGAUCUAGAAGAACAUGUGACAGAAAAUGGCUCUGCUUUCAUGGAACUUACAGUCUGUUGAGAUAAAAAUCAACCAUAAACUCAACAAAAGAGCAAGUCAUUCCAGGCAAUAUCGAUAAAAGCUCUAUAAUAAAUAAAAUGAGGCACUAUGAAAGAAAGUGGUGUUUAUGGAAUGCUCAUUUUCAUCCUGAUUUUCAACUGUAUAUGAUUGGUAUUCCAUAUAUGGAGAAAGAGAUGAAGGCUAUUGAGAAUAUGCUUGUCAAAUGAGAUAAGCAAAGGGCAAAAGAUGGAGAAUGAGUAAGAACUGCAGUUUAAAACAUAAAUACAUGGCCCAAAUUUUAAAUGUCUGUACUGCUCUAAGAUGUGCCUUCUUAAAUGUUGUUCUUUUUUUAUUAAAUUAUGUUCUAUAGAAUAUAUGAUCCUCUCAGAAACAGAGAACAUUCCAUUGUUCAUUGUCAUGGAAAGGAAAUACAGUUGGGGCUUUAUCACUUGCUUUUGUUGUGGUUGUGCUUUAAAAAAAAAUAAAAAAAACAACUUCAGAAAUUACUCUAUUAUGUGUGAUGAGUUUGAUUUUAGUAAAACUAAGAACAUCUUGUCACAUAAUUCAGGCCCCUAACUACACUUUCAGUCCGCAAAUUCUGAGUUGAGCUGGGCUCGGAAGUCAGCAUGCUGAUGAGGACAGAAUGGGAAUAAUUAGGUGUAUCUAAAACAAAGGAUGGAUUUAUAUAGAGAGAACCAGUUCUGAGAUUUCUGAGACCUAUUUUCUGGCCCAUGAAUGAUAAAUGAACUCAUUUGAGGC